Molecule: ribosomal RNA, 450 nt
Filed under: uncultured bacterium
Lineage: Bacteria
Description: bacterial SSU rRNA
Rfam family: Bacterial small subunit ribosomal RNA
Source: RNAcentral
UGGGGAAUAUUGGACAAUGGGGGGAACCCUGAUCCAGCAAUGCCGCGUGUGUGAAGAAGGCCUGAGGGUUGUAAAGCACUAUCAGUGGGGAGGAGGGUAUAUUGGUUAAGAGCUGAGUAUACUGGACGUUACCCACAGAAGAAGCACCGGCUAACUCCGUGCCAGCAGCCGCGGUAAUACGGAGGGUGCGAGCGUUAAUCGGAAUUACUGGGCGUAAAGGGUGCGUAGGUUGUUUGGUAAGUUAUCUGUGAAAUUCCUGGGCUUAACCUGGGCAGGUCAGAUGAUACUGCUGAACUAGAGUAUAGGAGAGGGUAGUGGAAUUUCCGGUGUAGCGGUGAAAUGCACAGAGAUCGGAAGGAACACCGGUGGCGAAGGCGGCUACCUGGCCUAAUACUGACACUGAGGCACGAAAGCGUGGGGAGCAAACAGGAUUAGAUACCCCCGUAGUCC